Long non-coding RNA from Meriones unguiculatus (Mongolian gerbil), 944 nucleotides. RefSeq lists it as uncharacterized. The transcript has 3 exons. NCBI's taxonomy places the organism in Eukaryota, Metazoa, Chordata, Mammalia, Rodentia, Muridae. The record is from RefSeq and is a predicted model, not a curated record.
CCAGCCUUCCUGGGGCUUCCUUUCCCAAACCUCUGCCUUCAGCUCUGCACUUACUGCUCCCCUUCCUGGUCAGAAGGUUAACCUCUGCUUGAGAUGUCUCCUCGCUUAGAAAGGUGGGAACCUCGUGUAGCUGUCUUCUGAGAGGCUCCACUCAGCAGUAGAUCAAAACAGCUCGGGGCAUACAAAGUCAAGAUUCCUGUUCUUUCCCCAAGCCAUUUCCUUCAUCCAUUUCUCAACCUCUUGACUGGUCGUCUGCUUAUCGCCUGCUCCAUCCUUCAUAUGUGACACCUACAAUGGCUUUUCCGCCUCUGAUCUUUCAGAUUUUCUUCCCCAAGUGUAACUGAUACUUGCUGGUUGAUUAUCCAGUCUCCAUAAAGGCCUAGAGUAAAUAACCAACCUGGCAUUCUCUAGACCCAUCCUUUUCUUUUACUGACAAGAAAUCCUAGACGGCAGCUGGCUACGACUCAGCAACUCACCUGAGACUCCCGGCAAUCCUUAAGGUGGAAGCUUGGGAUCUUCCAAGUCAAGUGCAGCGUGCAGCUUCCUGAAUUAAGACUCAUGACCUUGGAAGAGUGGUCGACGCUUUGCUCACCUCAGUGUGGACCAGCCACCGCCACAGUGCAGCGAGUGUGUGUGAUGGCUGGCUUGUUUAUAAUUCUCUAUUUACUUAAAAAUGUGGAAAUGGGAACUGCGCUGUGAACACUACCCCAAGCCUCAUUCCUACACUUCAAGUCUUUGGGAACCUCUGAUCCUCACUGGGUCUCAGUUGGCAAAACGGUGGAACUGAGGGAUGGAGAACCACGAAGGUCUCACCCUGCUUCGAGAAUCAUAGGCCAUAACAAUUACGCCAACAUUUCUUAGUUUACCUAACACAGUUUACUUAACUUUUGAAACUUCAGACUAUACACAAGUAAGUAAAGUAAAAAUGCCAACCAAGCUGUUGU